AACGAACGCUGGCGGCAUGCCUAACACAUGCAAGUCGAACGAGACCUUCGGGUCUAGUGGCGCACGGGUGCGUAACGCGUGGGAACCUGCCCUUAGGUUCGGAAUAACUCCCCGAAAGGGGUGCUAAUACCGGAUAAUGUCUUCGGACCAAAGAUUUAUCGCCUUUGGAUGGGCCCGCGUUGGAUUAGCUAGUUGGUAGGGUAAAAGCCUACCAAGGCGACGAUCCAUAGCUGGUCUGAGAGGAUGAUCAGCCACACUGGGACUGAGACACGGCCCAGACCCUUCCGGGGGGAGGCGGGGGGAAAUUUUGGAAAUGGGGCGAAAGCCGAACCCGGCAAUGCCGGGGGGGUGAUAAAGGCUUUGGGGUUUUAAAGCUUUUUUACCCGGGAUGUUAAGGAAGGUACCGGGAGAAUAAGCCCCGGCUAACUCCGG
RNAcentral lists this ribosomal RNA (432 nucleotides) under uncultured bacterium. RNAcentral's name for it is "partial 16S ribosomal RNA". It matches the Rfam family "Bacterial small subunit ribosomal RNA", at positions 29 to 506 of the family's 1533-position model. The record is from RNAcentral.